Molecule: long non-coding RNA, 1064 nt
Organism: Alnus glutinosa
Lineage: Eukaryota; Viridiplantae; Streptophyta; Magnoliopsida; Fagales; Betulaceae
Exons: 4
Source: RefSeq, a predicted model, not a curated record
CGUCCGUUGUCCGGUGCUUCCGCUCGGUCUCUCUCUCCCUCUCUCCGUACAGAUCUGCUCUCCGGUCAGUGACGUCGCCAGCUUCUCUCUUGGCGGUAGGCGUCCUCCGUCGUCCGGCGUCCCCACUCCGGCAGAUUUCGUCUCAGUCCAGCUCUGUCUCCGGCCGGCCACGCUAGGGUACCAUUUAAUUUCCAAGGAUCAUCAACUCUGUUCUGUUGCUAGGAGCGCUAUUAUGUAGAGAGGAAUUUGUUGGGGUACUGUACGACCAAGGCUCGAAAAAAUGUCGGUAAAUAGUGAUGCGUCAAGACCCCCUCCGUUAUGUUACUGUGGAGUGCGUGCACGUCUAAGGUACUCAUGGACUAGUGACAACCCCGGACGAAAGUGGUAUGGCUGUAUAAAGUAUAAGGAACCUGGGGAUUGUGAUUUUUUUAGGUGGGCUGAUAACGACAUGACUUCUUAUGAGAAGAGAUUGGAGGAACAUAUGAGAGACAUGGAGGAAGGGAGACGGGCUGAUAUUGAGAAAGUUGAGAAGAUGACAAUGGCCAGUAUUGACAGACUUGAGAAGCUGAUUGAAACAAAACACAAUGAACAAUAUGCUAGACUUCGGUUGGAGUUGGGUCUGCGUCAAAGUAAUAGAAAGAUGUUUUGGGUAGCAGUAGUCGUAGUCAUUUUGGGCCUUGUAAUUUAUCUCAGUGGUUAUAGUGGUUCUAAAGUUAGCUACUUGAUGUUAGAAUGAAAAGAUGGAUACAAGAAGGUUGAAAAUGAUCAUUGUCAAAUAUUUUAUGUUGUAUCCAGUUGAACAAUAGAAAUUCUGAAUUUUAGUUAUGAUGGAAGUUGAUCUGUAAAAUCAGUGUUUGUAGAUGGGUAUUGAUACUUUAAGUCAUUUGAUGAUUGUCAACAAGCCCUAUUUAUUAGGAGAUUCAUUAACAAUUUCAGCUGAUUCAUUAGAGUUCUCCCUUCCCUGGGACCUUAGCUUUAAGGGCCAUGAAUUCUACCUAAGUUUUGUUUGUAUGCUUUAGCAAUACGGAGUGUUGACAUGGCUUUACCUCUUAAUUAUUACUUAA